RNAcentral lists this ribosomal RNA (375 nucleotides) under Triticum aestivum (bread wheat). Its description in RNAcentral is "partial small subunit ribosomal RNA". Lineage: Eukaryota; Viridiplantae; Streptophyta; Magnoliopsida; Poales; Poaceae. The record is from RNAcentral.
AUGGUUCUUAGAGAUUCAGAUGGGGUGGUCAUCUUUUCAGCUUAUCGUUACCUAUUUCACUGCAAUGAUGCCCUAGAAUCAGAAGUUAGUGUGGUGCCAGAAGGACUAUCAAUGAGUAUGCAACAGAUAGACAUUCCAAUUGUGAUUCAGUUUGACAGCUGGCGUGUCGUUGCGGCUUUAUCAAAUGAUUCGCUGGAUUGCUCUGCCUAUGGACAUCUUAUGUUAGAGAUCAAGAAACUUCUGGAGUUGCAUGGGUUUAUAUCACAGAAAAUCGAGGGUCAUCAAAAUAGAGUUGCUCAUAGUCUUGCUAAUAUUGGUCGUUCUGGUGAUAGCACCGCUUGUCAGUUGGCGCCGUGUGCCAGAGAGUAUAACUGA